Molecule: long non-coding RNA, 4873 nt
Filed under: Pan troglodytes (chimpanzee)
Lineage: Eukaryota; Metazoa; Chordata; Mammalia; Primates; Hominidae
Description: long non-coding RNA NONPTRT002701
Source: RNAcentral
GGCAGCCAGCGCAGGGGCUUCUGCUGAGGGCGCAGGCGGAGCUUGAGGAAACCGCAGAUAAGUUUUUUUCACUUUGAAAGAUAGAGAUUAAUACAACUACUUAAAAAAUAUAGUCAAUAGGUUACUAAGAUAUUGCUUAGCGUUAAGCUUUUAACGUAAUUUUAAUAGCUUAAGAUUUUAAGAGAAAAUAUGAAGACUUAGAAGAGUAGCAUGACGAAGGAAAAGAUAAAAGAUUUCUAAAACAUGACGGAGGUUGAGAUGAAGCUUCUUCAUGGAGUAAAAAAUGUAUUUAAAAGAAAAUUGAGAGAAAGGACUACAGAGCCCUGAAUUAAUACCAAUAGAAGGGCAAUGCUUUUAGAUUAAAAUGAAGGUGACUUAAACAGCUUAAAGUUUACUUUAAAAGUUGUAGGUGAUUAAAAUAAUUUGAAGGCGAUCUUUUAAAAAGAGAUUAAACCGAAGGUGAUUAAAAGACCUUGAAAUCCAUGACGCAGGGAGAAUUGCGUCAUUUAAAGCCUAGUUAACGCAUUUAAACGCAGACGAAAAUGGAAAGAUUAGUUGGGAGUGGUAGGAUGAAACGAUUUGGAGAAGAUAGAAGUUUGAAGUGGAAAACUGGAAGACAGAAGUACAGGAAGGCGGAGAAAAGAAUAGAGAAGAUAGGGAAAUUAGAAGAUAAAAACAUACUUUUAGAAGAAAAAAGAUAAAUUUAAACCUGAAAAGUAGGAAGCAGAAGAAAAAAGACAAGCUAGGAAACAAAAAACUAAGGGCAAAAUGUACAAACUUAGAAGAAAAUUGGAAGAUAGAAACAAGAUAGAAAAUGAAAAUAUUGUCAAGAGUUUCAGAUAGAAAAUGAAAAACAAGCUAAGACAAGUAUUGGAGAAGUAUAGAAGAUAGAAAAAUAUAAAGCCAAAAAUUGGAUAAAAUAGCACUGAAAAAGUGAGGAAAUUAUUGGUAACCAAUUUAUUUUAAAAGCCCAUCAAUUUAAUUUCUGGUGGUGCAGAAGUUAGAAGGUAAAGCUUGAGAAGAUGAGGGUGUUUACGUAGACCAGAACCAAUUUAGAAGAAUACUUGAAGCUAGAAGGGGAAGUUGGUUAAAAAUCACAUCAAAAAAGGACUGGUGUAAUUUAAAAAAAAACUAAGGCAGAAGGCUUUUGGAAGAGUUAGAAGAAUUUGGAAGGCCUUAAAUAUAGUAGCUUAGUUUGAAAAAUGUGAAGGACUUUCGUAACGGAAGUAAUUCAAGAUCAAGAGUAAUUACCAACUUAAUGUUUUUGCAUUGGACUUUGAGUUAAGAUUAUUUUUUAAAUCCUGAGGACUAGCAUUAAUUGACAGCUGACCCAGGUGCUACACAGAAGUGGAUUCAGUGAAUCUAGGAAGACAGCAGCAGACAGGAUUCCGGGAACCAGUGUUUGAUGAAGCUAGGACUGAGGAGCAAGCGAGCAAGCAGCAGUUCGUGGUGAAGAUAGGAAAAGAGUCCAGGAGCCAGUGCGAUUUGGUGAAGGAAGCUAGGAAGAAGGAAGGAGCGCUAACGAUUUGGUGGUGAAGCUAGGAAAAAGGAUUCCAGAAAGGAGCGAGUGCGAUUUGGUGAUGAAGCUAGCAGGCGGCUUGGCUUGGCAACCACACGGAGGAGGCGAGCAGGCGUUGUGCGUAGAUAGAGGAUCCUAGACCAGCAUGCCAGUGUGCCAAGGCCACAGGGAAAACGAGUGGUUGGUAAAAAUCCGUGAGGUCGGCAAUAUGUUGUUUUUCUGGAACUUAUGGUAACCUUUUAUUUAUUUUCUAAUAUAAUGGGGGAGUUUCGUACUGAGGUGUAAAGGGAUUUAUAUGGGGAACGUAGGCCGAUUUCCGGGUGUUGUAGGUUUCUCUUUUUCAGGCUUAUACUCAUGAAUCUUGUCUGAAGCUUUUGAGGGCAGACUGCCAAGUCCUGGAGAAAUAGUAGAUGGCAAGUUUGUGGGUUUUUUUUUUUUUUUUUUUUUUUUUUACGAAUUUGAGGAAAACCAAAUGAAUUUGAUAGCCAAAUUGAGACAAUUUCAGCAAAUCUGUAAGCAGUUUGUAUGUUUAGUUGGGGUAAAUGAAGUAUUUCAGUUUUGUGAAUAGAUGACCUGUUUUUACUUCCUCACCCUGAAUUCGUUUUGUAAAUGUAGAGUUUGGAUGUGUAACUGAGGCGGGGGGGAGUUUUCAGUAUUUUUUUUUUGUGGGGGUGGGGGCAAAAUAUGUUUUCAGUUCUUUUUCCCUUAGGUCUGUCUAGAAUCCUAAAGGCAAAUGACUCAAGGUGUAACAGAAAACAAGAAAAUCCAAUAUCAGGAUAAUCAGACCACCACAGGUUUACAGUUUAUAGAAACUAGAGCAGUUCUCACGUUGAGGUCUGUGGAAGAGAUGUCCAUUGGAGAAAUGGCUGGUAGUUACUCUUUUUUCCCCCCACCCCCUUAAUCAGACUUUAAAAGUGCUUAACCCCUUAAACUUGUUAUUUUUUACUUGAAGCAUUUUGGGAUGGUCUUAACAGGGAAGAGAGAGGGUGGGGGAGAAAAUGUUUUUUUCUAAGAUUUUCCACAGAUGCUAUAGUACUAUUGACAAACUGGGUUAGAGAAGGAGUGUACCGCUGUGCUGUUGGCACGAACACCUUCAGGGACUGGAGCUGCUUUUAUCCUUGGAAGAGUAUUUCCAGUUGAAGCUGAAAAGUACAGCACAGUGCAGCUUUGGUUCAUAUUCAGUCAUCUCAGGAGAACUUCAGAAGAGCUUGAGUAGGCCAAAUGUUGAAGUUAAGUUUUCCAAUAAUGUGACUUCUUAAAAGUUUUAUUAAAGGGGAGGGGCAAAUAUUGGCAAUUAGUUGGCAGUGGCCUGUUACGGUUGGGAUUGGUGGGGUGGGUUUAGGUAAUUGUUUAGUUUAUGAUUGCAGAUAAACUCAUGCCAGAGAACUUAAAGUCUUAGAAUGGAAAAAGUAAAGAAAUAUCAACUUCCAAGUUGAUAACAUCUUCUGAGUCAUAACCAGCCUGGCAGUAUGAUGGCCUAGAUGCAGAGAAAACAGCUCCUUGGUAUCUCUUCGUUAUCAGAAGAGUUGCUUCAUUUCAUCUGGGAGCAGAAAACAGCAGGCAGCUGUUAACAGAUAAGUUUAACUUGCAUCUGCAGUAUUGCAUGUUAGGGAUAAGUGCUUAUUUUUAAGAGGUGUGGAGUUCUUAAAUAUCAACCAUGGCACUUUCUCCUGACCCCUUCCCUAGGGGAUUUCAGGAUUGAGAAAUUUUUCCAUCGAGCCUCUUUAAAAUUGUAGGACUUGUUCCUGUGGGCUUCAAUGAUGGGAUAGUACACUUCACUCAGAGGCAUUUGCAUCUUUAAAUAAUUUCUUAAAAGCCUCUAAAGUGAUCAGUGCCUUGAUGCCAACUAAGGAAAUUUGUUUAGCAUUGAAUCUCUGAAGGCUCUAUGAAAGGAAUAGCAUGAUGUGCUGUUAGAAUCAGAUGUUAUUGCUAAAAUUUACAUGUUGUGUUGUGAUGUAAAUUGUGUAGAAAACCAUUAAAUCAUUCAAAAUAAUAAACUAUUUUUAUUAGAGAAUGUAUACUUUUAGAAAGCUGUCUCCUUAUUUAAAUACAAUACUGUUUGUCUGUAGUUUAGUGUUGGGGCAAUCUUGGGGGGGAUUCUUCUCUAAUCUUUCAGAAACUUUGUCUGCGAACACUCUUUAAUGGACCAGAUCAGGAUUUGAGCGGAAGAACGAAUGUAACUUUAAGGCAGGAAAGACAAAUUUUAUUCUUCAUAAAGUGAUGAGCAUAUAAUAAUUCCAGGCACAUGGCAAUAGAGGCCCUCUAAAUAAGGAAUAAAUAACCUCUUAGACAGGUGGGAGAUUAUGAUCAGAGUAAAAGGUAAUUACACAUUUUAUUUCCAGAAAGUCAGGGGUCUAUAAAUUGACAGUGAUUAGAGUAAUACUUUUUCACAUUUCCAAAGUUUGCAUGUUAACUUUAAAUGCUUACAAUCUUAGAGUGGUAGGCAAUGUUUUACAUUAUUGACCUUAUAUAGGGAAGGGAGGGGGUGCCUGUGGGUUUUUAAAGAAUUUUCCUUUGCAGAGGCAUUUCAUCCUUCAUGAAGCUGUUCAGGAUUUUGAAUUGCAUAUGAGUGCUUGGCUCUUCCUUCUGUUCUCCUAACUUCACAGAGAAUGCAGUUGUCUUGACUUCAGGUCUGUCUGUUCUGUUGGCAAGUAAAUGCAGUACUGUUCUGAUCCCGCUGCUAUUAGAAUGCAUUGUGAAACGACUGGAGUAUGAUUAAAAGUUGUGUUCCCCAAUGCUUGGAGUAGUGAUUGUUGAAGGAAAAAAUCCAGCUGAGUGAUAAAGGCUGAGUGUUGAGGAAAUUUCUGCAGUUUUAAGCAGUCGUAUUUGUGAUUGAAGCUGAGUACAUUUUGCUGGUGUAUUUUUAGGUAAAAUGCUUUUUGUUCAUUUCUGGUGCUGGGAGGGGACUGAAGCCUUUAGUCUUUUCCAGAUGCAACCUUAAAAUCAGUGACAAGAAACAAAUUCCAAACAAGCAACAGUCUUCAAGAAAUUAAACUGGCAAGUGGAAAUGUUUAAACAGUUCAGUGAUCUUUAGUGCAUUGUUUUUGUGUGGGUUUCUCUCUCCCCUCCCUUGGUCUUAAUUCUUACAUGCAGGAACACUCAGCAGACACACGUAUGCGAAGGGCCAGAGAAGCCAGACCCAGUAAGAAAAAAUAGCCUAUUUACUUUAAAUAAACCAAACAUUCCAUUUUAAAUGUGGGGAUUGGGAACCACUAGUUCUUUCAGAUGGUAUUCUUCAGACUAUAGAAGGAGCUUCCAGUUGAAUUCACCAGUGGACAAAAUGAGGAAAACAGGUGAACAAGCUUUUUCUGUAUUUACAUACAAAGUCAGAUCAGUUAUGGGACAAUAGUAUGA